AGAAGGAUAGUAUAAAUUGCUUCGAAUCAUCAUCAUCAUUGCCGAAAGAGAAAAAAAGGAAAAUCCUGAGAAAUCCGGAGUAUAACAAAAUGGUAAAGAAAUCAUCAAUGCAUAAUACAGACAAGCAUACUAUCUGGUAAAUAUUCCUCACAGAUUAUAAAACUUUACUGCUUGCUGGCAGAGAAGAAAAAUACCACCAUUUAUUGCUAUCUCAAAGGAAGAAAUGAUAUGGCACUUGUGGCGAAUAAACCAAAUUUUAAUUCAUAAAGAAAUGCAAACUUUUUCAUGGAAUGAAGCUGCAGAUGAUUUCAAAUUUCUUUGCAUCAUUUUGGUUCUCCACUCUGAGUUGACUAGCGAAUGAAGAAAGGUAGACUAGCCAAUAUGGCCGAAAUAAACGCUUUAACAUCUACAAUAUUUGUUCUAUGUGUAAAAUGACACAAGCAAUUCAUGGAAUGAAGCUGCAGAUGAUUUCAAAUUUCUUUGCAUCAUUUUGGUUCUCCACUCUGAGUUGACUAGCGAAUGAAGAAAGGUAGACGAGCCAAUAUGUCCGAAAUAAACGCUUUUAACAUCUACAAUAUUUGUUCUAUGUGUAAAAUGACGCAAGCAAUUCAUGGAAUGAAGCUGCAGAUGAUUUCAAAUUUCUUUGCAUCAUUUUGGUUCUCCACUCUGAGUUGACUAGCGAAUGAAGAAAGGUAGCCUAGCCAAUAUGGCCGAAAUAAACGCUUUUAACAUCUACAAUAUUUGUUCUAUGUGUAAAAUGACACAAGCAAUUUCUUCAAGAUAAAGAAAAUGAUUGUAACUUCUCUUCACUUGGCUCCAAUUUUAUCUAGAUAGACCGAUUACUGAUAGAAAAUAGUAGAGAACGAACACCUAACUCAUCACAACCGAUCCAAGUUGUAGUGUCAUCAACUAUUUUUAAAUAACUCCAGAACUCAAAUGUCCCUUUUCUACUUUAAACUAAUACACCAUCUAUUUGACCCUCAUAUUUAUCUAUUUAACCACAUCAACAUUUUCAAAACCUGUUAAAACACACAGAAUAUACUUAGCUGUCCUUUUAAAUCUUGAAGAUAUACCUUUAUACCCAAGUAAGACUUCUUAUAAUCGUCCAGACAUCCAUUUCCUCGACGUUCUUGUUUAGCAACUUCCACAGGCAAGGAAGGGCGCCAAAGUCAACAAUGCGCUGAGUUGUGAAGAUGGUUGACAUGUAGUUAAAAUAUUAAGGCAAUGUCCAUGUAUGACG
RNAcentral lists this long non-coding RNA (1240 nucleotides) under Capsicum annuum. RNAcentral describes it as "long non-coding RNA (CANN_LNC012022)". Lineage: Eukaryota; Viridiplantae; Streptophyta; Magnoliopsida; Solanales; Solanaceae. The record is from RNAcentral.